RNAcentral lists this unclassified non-coding RNA (500 nucleotides) under uncultured Glomus. RNAcentral's name for it is "SSU rRNA". It matches the Rfam family "Eukaryotic small subunit ribosomal RNA", at positions 591 to 1092 of the family's 1831-position model. Lineage: Eukaryota; Fungi; Glomeromycota; Glomeromycetes; Glomerales; Glomeraceae. The record is from RNAcentral.
CCAAUAGCGUAUAUUAAAGUUGUUGCAGUUAAAAAGCUCGUAGUUGAAUUUCGGGACCAAUCUGCCGGUCGUGCCUCUGGUACGCACUGGUUUUAUUGGUUUCUCCCUUCUGACGAACCAUAAUGUCAUUAAUUUGGUGUCAUGGGGAAUCAGGACUGUUACUUUGAAAAAAUUAGAGUGUUUAAAGCAGGCUCACGCUUGAAUACAUUAGCAUGGAAUAAUGAAAUAGGACGUUUGACCCUAUUUUGUUGGUUUCUAGGAUCGACGUAAUGAUUAAUAGGGAUAGUUGUGGGCAUUAGUAUUCAAUUGUCAGAGGUGAAAUUCUUGGAUUUAUUGAAGGCUAACUACUGCGAAAGCAUUUGCCAAGGAUAUUUUCAUUAAUCAAGAACGAAAGUUAGGGGAUCGAAGACGAUCAGAUACCGUCGUAGUCUUAACCAUAAACUAUGCCGACUAGGGAUCGGAUGAUGUUAAUUUUUUAAUGACUCAUUCGGCGCCUUACG